GGUUAAGCGACUAAGCGUACACGGUGGAUGCCCUGGCAGUCAGAGGCGAUGAAGGACGUGCUAAUCUGCGAAAAGCGCCGGCGAGGUGAUAUGAACCUUUGACCCGGCGAUGUCCGAAUGGGGAAACCCAGUGCAAUCCGUUGCACUAUCGUUAACUGAAUACAUAGGUUAACGAGGCGAACCGGGGGAACUGAAACAUCUAAGUACCCCGAGGAAAAGAAAUCAACCGAGAUUCCCCCAGUAGCGGCGAGCGAACGGGGAGCAGCCCGGAGUCUGAAUCAGCUUGUGUGUUAGUGGAA
This 299-nucleotide ribosomal RNA is filed under the name Enterobacter hormaechei. RNAcentral describes it as "partial 23S ribosomal RNA". It matches the Rfam family "Bacterial large subunit ribosomal RNA", at positions 1 to 306 of the family's 2925-position model. Lineage: Bacteria; Pseudomonadati; Pseudomonadota; Gammaproteobacteria; Enterobacterales; Enterobacteriaceae. The record is from RNAcentral.